Molecule: ribosomal RNA, 700 nt
Filed under: uncultured bacterium
Lineage: Bacteria
Description: bacterial SSU rRNA
Rfam family: Bacterial small subunit ribosomal RNA
Source: RNAcentral
CAUGCAAGUCGAACGGUAACGCGGGGCAACCUGGCGACGAGUGGCGAACGGGUGAGUAAUAUAUCGGAACGUGCCCAGUAGUGGGGGAUAGCCCGGCGAAAGCCGGAUUAAUACCGCAUACGACCUACGGGCGAAAGCGGGGGAUCGCAAGACCUCGCGCUAUUGGAGCGGCCGAUAUCAGAUUAGGUAGUUGGUGGGGUAAAAGCCUACCAAGCCAACGAUCUGUAGCUGGUCUGAGAGGACGACCAGCCACACUGGGACUGAGACACGGCCCAGACUCCUACGGGAGGCAGCAGUGGGGAAUUUUGGACAAUGGGCGCAAGCCUGAUCCAGCCAUGCCGCGUGCGGGAAGAAGGCCUUCGGGUUGUAAACCGCUUUUGUCAGGGAAGAAACGCUCUGGGCUAAUACCCCGGGGUAAUGACGGUACCUGAAGAAUAAGCACCGGCUAACUACGUGCCAGCAGCCGCGGUAAUACGUAGGGUGCAAGCGUUAAUCGGAAUUACUGGGCGUAAAGCGUGCGCAGGCGGUCUUGCAAGACAGAUGUGAAAUCCCCGGGCUCAACCUGGGAACUGCAUUUGUGACUGCAAGGCUAGAGUACGGCAGAGGGGGAUGGAAUUCCGCGUGUAGCAGUGAAAUGCGUAGAUAUGCGGAGGAACACCGAUGGCGAAGGCAAUCCCCUGGGCCUGUACUGACGCUCAUG